GACCAAGGUAGCUAGAGCGUUAGAGCGUCCGCCUCGGAUGCGGGUGGUCACGGGUUCGAACUCCGACAUAGUCA
Molecule: non-coding RNA, 74 nt
Organism: Potamilus streckersoni
Lineage: Eukaryota; Metazoa; Mollusca; Bivalvia; Unionida; Unionidae
Source: the annotation of a GenBank genome assembly